CUAGUUCAAUUUUCCCAAGUGACAGUUUGCUCUCCCUGAUGUAAACCUGCUAAGGAUUUUUUCACGUAAGCUUUGAAGAAAGUAAUUCUUAAAUCUCAGAAUAGAAGUAUCUCUCAGGGAAUCCAGUGGCAAUCAUUAGCAUGCUAUGGAGAAGAAGCAGACAUCCGUUGGGCAAGAAGGGACCAGGGCCUCUACAAGGUCAACUGGCUAUUCAGGGAAAACAAUAAUUUACUCCUCACAGAGGAUGCAGCAGAAUUCCUGUAUAUGCUUCUUGGGGAAGAUCUCCAGGUAUGGAGAGUAUUGCUUUUAUUAGCAUGUGUUUUGAUUCAGUAGCAUACUUGGAGAAUAAGACAAAAUGUAUGUGCCAUUUUCUUUUGAAUAGUAUUAUUUUUUUACUAUGUUCAGACAUAGCAGGCCAUAUCCAUUAAGAAUCAAUUUCUGGUAGUAACUUUGAUGGCAACUUAAGCCUGGAUGGCAA
Long non-coding RNA from Aquila chrysaetos chrysaetos, 478 nucleotides. RefSeq lists it as uncharacterized. The transcript has 3 exons. The record is from RefSeq and is a predicted model, not a curated record. NCBI's taxonomy places the organism in Eukaryota, Metazoa, Chordata, Aves, Accipitriformes, Accipitridae.